Long non-coding RNA from Tupaia belangeri chinensis (Chinese tree shrew), 351 nucleotides. RefSeq lists it as uncharacterized. NCBI's taxonomy places the organism in Eukaryota, Metazoa, Chordata, Mammalia, Scandentia, Tupaiidae. The record is from RefSeq and is a predicted model, not a curated record. The transcript is spliced from 2 exons.
CAGUGCUUGAUUUCGCAAAGAGAAAUGAAACAAUAGAUACUGUUGGCGUGAUCAGGUGUCCAUAACCAUUAACCACCAAGAAACGGAUCACAAUAUAAGGCAUCCAACAGAUCAGGAAGAUAUUCAGGUACCAUUCUUGUCCCUUGUCCCCUUGGAAGGAGACUGAAAGCAACCUUGGGAGGCUGACUUCUGAUCCAAGACCUGCAGCUGGACUCAGACUUAAUUAAUCUGGGCAUCUGUCUCUUCACUUUUAAUACAUACAUUCUGGAUGAAUUACAUCACCUCUCGUGUCUUUUCAUUGCUUUCGAUCCUUUCCUAAUUUACUUAAUGAGAAUAAAAUGAAUUAUUUUG